CAGCAGCCGCGGUAAUACGUAGGGUGCAAGCGUUAAUCGGAGUUACUGGGCGUAAAGCGUGCGCAGGCGGUUCUAUAAGACAGAUGUGAAAUCCCCGGGCUCAACCUGGGAACUGCAUUUGUGACUGUAGAGCUGGAGUGCGGCAGAGGGGGAUGGAAUUCCGCGUGUAGCAGUGAAAAGCGUAGAUAUGCGGAGGAACACCGAUGGCGAAGGCAAUCCCCUGGGCCUGCACUGACGCUCAUGCACGAAAGCGUGGGGAGCAAACAGGAUUAGAUACCCCCGUAGUCCCUGUCUCUUAUAC
RNAcentral lists this ribosomal RNA (301 nucleotides) under uncultured bacterium. RNAcentral describes it as "partial 16S ribosomal RNA". It matches the Rfam family "Bacterial small subunit ribosomal RNA", at positions 509 to 807 of the family's 1533-position model. The record is from RNAcentral.